AGUGAACGCUGGCGGUAGGCCUAACACAUGCAAGUCGAACGGCAGCACAGUAAGAGCUUGCUCUUACGGGUGGCGGGUGGCGGACGGGUGAGGAAUACAUCGGAAUCUACUUUUUCGUGGGGGAUAACGUAGGGAAACUUACGCUAAUACCGCAUACGACCUACGGGUGAAAGCAGGGGAUCUUCGGACCUUGCGCGAUUGAAUGAGCCGAUGUCGGAUUAGCUAGUUGGCGGGGUAAAGGCCCACCAAGGCGACGAUCCGUAGCUGGUCUGAGAGGAUGAUCAGCCACACUGGAACUGAGACACGGUCCAGACUCCUACGGGAGGCAGCAGUGGGGAAUAUUGGACAAUGGGCGCAAGCCUGAUCCAGCCAUACCGCGUGGGUGAAGAAGGCCUUCGGGUUGUAAAGCCCUUUUGUUGGGAAAGAAAAGCAGCAGGUUAAUACCCCGCCGUUCUGACGGUACCCAAAGAAUAAGCACCGGCUAACUUCGUG
Molecule: ribosomal RNA, 492 nt
Filed under: uncultured bacterium
Lineage: Bacteria
Description: partial 16S ribosomal RNA
Rfam family: Bacterial small subunit ribosomal RNA
Source: RNAcentral